UACGUAGGUGGCAAGCGUUGUCCGGAUUUAUUGGGCGUAAAGCGAGCGCAGGCGGUUCCUUAAGUCUGCUGUGAAAGUCCCCGGCUCAACCGGGGAGGGUCAUUGGAAACUGGGGAACUUGAGUACAGAAGAGGAGAGUGGAAUUCCAUGUGUAGCGGUGAAAUGCGUAGAUAUAUGGAGGAACACCAGUGGCGAAGGCGACUCUCUGGUCUGUAACUAACGCUGAGGCGCGAAAGCGUGGGUAGCAAACAGG
This 253-nucleotide ribosomal RNA is filed under the name uncultured bacterium. RNAcentral describes it as "partial 16S ribosomal RNA". It matches the Rfam family "Bacterial small subunit ribosomal RNA", at positions 524 to 776 of the family's 1533-position model. The record is from RNAcentral.